Molecule: long non-coding RNA, 795 nt
Filed under: Homo sapiens (human)
Lineage: Eukaryota; Metazoa; Chordata; Mammalia; Primates; Hominidae
Description: HSALNT0304035
Source: RNAcentral
CGGCGGAGAGGCGGAUAGCGGCGGAGAGGCGGACAGCGGCGGCGCGGCGGAGAGACGGACAGCGGCGGAGAGGCGGACAGCGGCGGAGAGGCGGACAGCGGCGGCGCGGCGGAGAGACGGACAGCGGCGGAGAGGCGGACAGCGGCGGCGCGGCGGAGAGACGGAUAGCGGCGGAGAGGCGGACAGCGGCGGCGCGGCGGAGAGGCGGACAGCGGCGGAGAGGUGGACAGCGGCGGAGAGGCGGACAGCGGCGGCGCGGCGGAGAGACGGACAGCGGCGGAGAGGCGGACAGCGGCGGCGCGGCGGAGAGGCGGACAGCGGCGGCGCGGCGGAGAGACGGACAGCGGCGGAGAGGCAGACAGCGGCGGCGAGGCGCGCAGCGGCGGCGCAGGCGCGGAGAGGCGCUGGCGCCGGCUCUGGCGCGGAGAGGUGAAACGGAACCUACUGGAAUGAAGCUGGCCUCCCAUGGAAUGAAGCUGGCCUCCCGUCUCCUUGAUUUGAAGCAGCUUCUCCACGUUGGUUAUUAUGCCAUUUUUCUAAAUCUAACAUUUUAAAAUUUGUGCCUUUUCUUUCUCUUUUGCUUGACUUCUCAGAGGUUUUUUUAACGGUCUUUUCAAAGAAGUGGUUUUGGGUUUUAUUUAUCAAGUCUACUUUUAUUAUGGCUGUUUUAAAAUUAAAUACAUUUAUUUCUUGUUUCCCUUAAAAAAGCUUCUUGUAUGUUUACUUAGUUUAUAUAAUUUUAUAUGUCUUCUGUUGAAGCAUAUUAACAAACACUUCCAGCUAUAACGUUUCCCC